Molecule: non-coding RNA, 1433 nt
Organism: Myodes glareolus (Bank vole)
Lineage: Eukaryota; Metazoa; Chordata; Mammalia; Rodentia; Cricetidae
Source: RefSeq, a predicted model, not a curated record
AGGCAGCUUGUCACGGGGACAGGAAGGUCCCAGCAGACAUUCAACCACGACGCAAUGUGUAUGCAAGUUUUGAGACUAAAACAAGACCAAACAAUAGUGGUUGGAGGUGUCUGUGUGCUGCACCACGGCCAGGAAAGCCAGGGACUCUGUCACAUGGCUGGUGGGAGCAGUGUGGGAGCAGGGGACAGAGAACACCCGGGCCGCUGUGCCGGAAGUGGUUAACAUCAAGACUUAAACCUAGUGAUAUUUGACAGGUGAAACUUAUUGCUUUGGCUCAUGAUGGAGGUUUCAGUCCACAGUGAUGAGGAAGACAGUUUAACAGCUCUGUUCCUCGUGGUGCUGGCCUGGAGGCAGGAGGACGGCAGGAGAAGGAAGGUGGCUGGUGCAGACCCCAGGAAGGAAGCAGCUACCCACGUCCUGUGUCUGCUCAGGGAUAAGGUGGGGAGCCAGAUCGUUCUGUCACCAAGUGGUCGAGCAUGCGGUGCAUGAGGCAUUACGAUGGCCCCCUGUGCAGUCCCCGUCCCUGCCCUGUGUCUGCCAUAAGGGGAUUGUCACUCUGAGUCAUGAUGACUUUUGAAUCCAGACUUUGUCCCUGUGCUUGCUGCUUCUCCUCCCUGUAAACCCUUCUAGUGCUUGCUUAGUUGUCCCGUGUUUCCCAAGGAUCCCCUGUAUCACUCAUCUGGGCUUCCCAGCACUAGCUGGUACGGACAGUGCCUAAGACAGGACACCAUGCAGUCCUGGAAGUGUCUGUGUCCAUUCCAAAUUUCACCUGGCUGGCAGCCCAUUCCUACGGCAUAGGCUGGUGGAGCAGCCCAGCGGUCCUCAGAAACAGGGGACGUUGUUGUUCAUUUCCGAUUGUUGCUGUAGCCUUCUCGCUCCAAUGUCACCUUAGGAUUCUUCAGUCUGCCACACUGUCACAGGGUUGUGUUCCUUUCAGUUCUAGGGGCCAGAGUAUUUCUCUGCUUUUUCUGACUUCUAGAAACUUCUGGCAUCACUGGUCCUGUGACCUCCUUUCAUCCUGGGGUCCAGGCAUCACUGACUGAGCCUGGCUUUGUAUCAUGCCAAUCUCUUCUCCCUGCUUCCUUCUUCAGCAGACCCUUUCAUUUCUGUCUGCUGCAUUAGAGACCCCCGCCUUGGAUUUACCCAGUUGUAGUUGGUUAGGCUGCUGCAAUAGACCCACAGCCAGGGAGCACCAUGCAUCAAAGACUCAGGGCUUAGCCGAAGUUCUCUCGGUUCUAGAGUAGUCCAGACCGGGGUACCCACAAGGUGCAUCCUCCAAACAAACUGCCUUCUCCUAUUAUCCUCUCCCCAUAAGGACUGUAAUCCUACUUAGAUUGUGCCUCAAUCACUUUUGACUGAGUUCUAGAGUGUGAGGGGUUGGCUACCAUGUUCUGAUUAUUUCCCAAAGUUCUUGGUGCCUAAGACUAUCGAUC